Molecule: ribosomal RNA, 497 nt
Filed under: uncultured bacterium
Lineage: Bacteria
Description: partial 16S ribosomal RNA
Rfam family: Bacterial small subunit ribosomal RNA
Source: RNAcentral
GAUGAACGCUGGCGGCGUGCCUAAUACAUGCAAGUCGAGCGAACGGACGAGAAGCUUGCUUUUCUGAUGUUAGCGGCGGACGGGUGAGUAACACGUGGAUAACCUACCUAUAAGACUGGGAUAACUUCGGGAAACCGGAGCUAAUACCGGAUAAUAUUUUGAACCGCAUGGUUCAAAAGUGAAAGACGGUCUUGCUGUCACUUAUAGAUGGAUCCGCGCUGCAUUAGCUAGUUGGUAAGGUAACGGCUUACCAAGGCAACGAUGCAUAGCCGACCUGAGAGGGUGAUCGGCCACCCUGGAACUGAGACACGGUCCAGACUCCUACGGGAGGCAGCAGUAGGGAAUCUUCCGCAAUGGGCGAAAGCCUGACGGAGCAACGCCGCGUGAGUGAUGAAGGUCUUCGGAUCGUAAAACUCUGUUAUUAGGGAAGAACAUAUGUGUAAGUAACUGCGCACAUCUUGACGGUACCUAAUCAGAAAGCCACGGCUAACUACGUG